This 497-nucleotide ribosomal RNA is filed under the name uncultured bacterium. RNAcentral's name for it is "partial 16S ribosomal RNA". It matches the Rfam family "Bacterial small subunit ribosomal RNA", at positions 28 to 507 of the family's 1533-position model. The record is from RNAcentral.
GAUGAACGCUGGCGGCGUGCCUAAUACAUGCAAGUCGAGCGAACGGACGAGAAGCUUGCUUCUCUGAUGUUAGCGGCGGACGGGUGAGUAACACGUGGAUAACCUACCUAUAAGACUGGGAUAACUUCGGGAAACCGGAGCUAAUACCGGAUAAUAUUUUGAACCGCAUGGUUCAAAAGUGAAAGACGGUCUUGCUGUCACUUAUAGAUGGAUCCGCGCUGCAUUAGCUAGUUGGUAAGGUAACGGCUUACCAAGGCAACGAUGCAUAGCCGACCUGAGAGGGUGAUCGGCCACCCUGGAACUGAGACACGGCCCCGACUCCGACGGGAGGCAGCAGUAGGGAAUCUUCCGCGAUGGGCGAAAGCCUGACGGAGCAACGCCGCGGGAGUGAUGAAGGUCUUCGGAUCGGAAAACUCUGUUAUUAGGGAAGAACAUAUGUGUAAGUACCUGUGCACAUCUUGACGGUACCUAAUCAGAAAGCCACGGCUAACUACGUG